Vicia faba (fava bean) is the source of this 234-nucleotide non-coding RNA. NCBI's taxonomy places the organism in Eukaryota, Viridiplantae, Streptophyta, Magnoliopsida, Fabales, Fabaceae. The record is from the annotation of a GenBank genome assembly.
AUGUGGGAACUCCAAAGGGUACCAAAUUCAAUCCAUGGUCCUAAUAUAUUCUCAAGAUCAUCCACGUCAAGUUUCAUGCCUUGCACAAGAUGUUUGCUCAGUCAAUUGCCCAGAUGCCUGAAAAUCAACUAUAAUAGGUCAAAGGUUAACUGUGGCCCACAUAUAGUGAAACUUCAAGAUUUUUGCUCAACAUCAACAUUUUUAAGAGAUAUCCAUCAUUUGAUCAAGGGUUGA